AACGAACGCUGGCGGCAUGCCUAACACAUGCAAGUCGAACGAGACCUUCGGGUCUAGUGGCGCACGGGUGCGUAACGCGUGGGAACCUGCCUUUAGGUUCGGAAUAACUCAGAGAAAUUUGAGCUAAUACCGGAUAAUGUCUUCGGACCAAAGAUUUAUCGCCUUUAGAUGGGCCCGCGUUGGAUUAGCUAGUUGGUGGGUAAAGGCCUACCAAGGCGACGAUCCAUAGCUGGUCUGAGAGGAUGAUCAGCCACACUGGGACUGAGACACGGCCCAGACUCCUACGGGAGGCAGCAGUGGAGAAUAUUGGACAAUGGGCGCAAGCCUGAUCCAGCCAUGCCGCGUGAGUGAAGAAGGCCUUAGGGUUGUAAAACUCUUUCGCCGGUGAAGAUAAUGACGGUAACCGGAGAAGAAGCCCCGGCUAACUUCGUGCCAGCAGCCGCGGUAAU
This 449-nucleotide ribosomal RNA is filed under the name uncultured bacterium. RNAcentral describes it as "bacterial SSU rRNA". It matches the Rfam family "Bacterial small subunit ribosomal RNA", at positions 29 to 524 of the family's 1533-position model. The record is from RNAcentral.